RNAcentral lists this ribosomal RNA (1372 nucleotides) under uncultured bacterium. Its description in RNAcentral is "bacterial SSU rRNA". It matches the Rfam family "Bacterial small subunit ribosomal RNA", at positions 28 to 1381 of the family's 1533-position model. The record is from RNAcentral.
GAUGAACGCUGGCGGCGUGCCUAAUACAUGCAAGUCGAGCGAACGGACGAGAAGCUUGCUUCUCUGAUGUUAGCGGCGGACGGGUGAGUAACACGUGGAUAACCUACCUAUAAGACUGGGAUAACUUCGGGAAACCGGAGCUAAUACCGGAUAAUAUUUUGAACCGCAUGGUUCAAAAGUGAAAGACGGUCUUGCUGUCACUUAUAGAUGGAUCCGCGCUGCAUUAGCUAGUUGGUAAGGUAACGGCUUACCAAGGCAACGAUGCAUAGCCGACCUGAGAGGGUGAUCAGCCACGCUGGAACUGAGACACGGUCCAGACUCCUACGGGAGGCAGCAGUAGGGAAUCUUCCGCAAUGGGCGAAAGCCUGACGGAGCAACGCCGCGUGAGUGAUGAAGGUCUUCGGAUCGUAAAACUCUGUUAUUAGGGAAGAACAUAUGUGUAAGUAACUGUGCACAUCUUGACGGUACCUAAUCAGAAAGCCACGGCUAACUACGUGCCAGCAGCCGCGGUAAUACGUAGGUGGCAAGCGUUAUCCGGAAUUAUUGGGCGUAAAGCGCGCGUAGGCGGUUUUUUAAGUCUGAUGUGAAAGCCCACGGCUCAACCGUGGAGGGUCAUUGGAAACUGGAAAACUUGAGUGCAGAAGAGGAAAGUGGAAUUCCAUGUGUAGCGGUGAAAUGCGCAGAGAUAUGGAGGAACACCAGUGGCGAAGGCGACUUUCUGGUCUGUAACUGACGCUGAUGUGCGAAAGCGUGGGGAUCAAACAGGAUUAGAUACCCUGGUAGUCCACGCCGUAAACGAUGAGUGCUAAGUGUUAGGGGGUUUCCGCCCCUUAGUGCUGCAGCUAACGCAUUAAGCACUCCGCCUGGGGAGUACGACCGCAAGGUUGAAACUCAAAGGAAUUGACGGGGACCCGCACAAGCGGUGGAGCAUGUGGUUUAAUUCGAAGCAACGCGAAGAACCUUACCAAAUCUUGACAUCCUUUGACAACUCUAGAGAUAGAGCCUUCCCCUUCGGGGGACAAAGUGACAGGUGGUGCAUGGUUGUCGUCAGCUCGUGUCGUGAGAUGUUGGGUUAAGUCCCGCAACGAGCGCAACCCUUAAGCUUAGUUGCCAUCAUUAAGUUGGGCACUCUAAGUUGACUGCCGGUGACAAACCGGAGGAAGGUGGGGAUGACGUCAAAUCAUCAUGCCCCUUAUGAUUUGGGCUACACACGUGCUACAAUGGACAAUACAAAGGGCAGCGAAACCGCGAGGUCAAGCAAAUCCCAUAAAGUUGUUCUCAGUUCGGAUUGUAGUCUGCAACUCGACUACAUGAAGCUGGAGUCGCUAGUAAUCGUAGAUCAGCAUGCUACGGUGAAUACGUUCCCGGGUCU